UUUGUAACAUUGGAUAACAUUUAAAAACAAA
Molecule: non-coding RNA, 31 nt
Filed under: Mus musculus (house mouse)
Lineage: Eukaryota; Metazoa; Chordata; Mammalia; Rodentia; Muridae
Source: RNAcentral